AGCGAACGCUGGCGGCAGGCCUAACACAUGCAAGUCGAACGAACCUUUCGGGGUUAGUGGCGGACGGGUGAGUAACACGUGGGAACGUGCCUUUAGGUUCGGAAUAACUCAGGGAAACUUGUGCUAAUACCGAAUGUGCCCUUCGGGGGAAAGAUUUAUCGCCUUUAGAGCGGCCCGCGUCUGAUUAGCUAGUUGGUUGAGGUAAUGGCUCACCAAGGCGACGAUCAGUAGCUGGUCUGAGAGGAUGAUCAGCCACAUUGGGACUGAGACACGGCCCAAACCCUUCCGGAGGGAGGCAGUGGGAAUCUUGCGCAAUGGGCGAAAGCCUGACGCAGCCAUGCCGCGUGAAUGAUGAAGGUCUUAGGAUUGUAAAAUUCUUUCACCGGGGACGAUAAUGACGGUACCCGGAGAAGAAGCCCCGGCUAACUUCGUG
Molecule: ribosomal RNA, 433 nt
Filed under: uncultured bacterium
Lineage: Bacteria
Description: partial 16S ribosomal RNA
Rfam family: Bacterial small subunit ribosomal RNA
Source: RNAcentral